RNAcentral lists this ribosomal RNA (747 nucleotides) under uncultured Methanotrichaceae archaeon. RNAcentral describes it as "bacterial SSU rRNA". It matches the Rfam family "Archaeal small subunit ribosomal RNA", at positions 85 to 833 of the family's 1478-position model. Lineage: Archaea; Methanobacteriati; Methanobacteriota; Methanomicrobia; Methanotrichales; Methanotrichaceae. The record is from RNAcentral.
ACUGCUCAGUAACACGUGGACAACCUACCCUUAGGACGGGGAUAAACCCGGGAAACUGGGUAUAAUACCCGAUAGUCCUCGACUGCUGGAAUGCAUCGAGAACUAAAGCUCCGGCGCCUAAGGAUGGGUCUGCGGCCUAUCAGGUAGUAGUGGGUGUAGUGUACCUACUAGCCUACGACGGGUACGGGUUGUGAGAGCAAGAGCCCGGAGAUGGAUUCUGAGACACGAAUCCAGGCCCUACGGGGUGCAGCAGGCGCGAAAACUUUACAAUGCUGGAAACAGCGAUAAGGGGACCUCGAGUGCCAGGUUACAAAUCUGGCUGUCGUGAUGCCUAAAAAGCAUUGCAUAGCAAGGGCCGGGCAAGACCGGUGCCAGCCGCCGCGGUAACACCGGCGGCUCGAGUGGUAACCGUUAUUAUUGGGUCUAAAGGGUCUGUAGCCGGCCGGAUAAGUCUCUUGGGAAAUCCAGCAGCUCAACUGUUGGGCUUUCAGGAGAUACUGUCUGGCUCGAGGCCGGGAGAGGUGAGAGGUACUUCAGGGGUGGGGGUGAAAUCUUGUAAUCCUUGGAGGACCACCAGUGGCGAAGGCGUCUCACCAGAACGGACCUGACGGCAAGGGACGAAAGCUAGGGGCACGAACCGGAUUAGAUACCCGGGUAGUCCUAGCCGUAAACGAUACUCGCUAGGUGUCGGCCACGGUGCGACCGUUGUCGGUGCCGUAGGGAAGCCGUGAAGCGAGCCACCUGGAA